AGUGAACGCUGGCGGUAGGCCUAACACAUGCAAGUCGAACGGCAGCACAGUAAGAGCUUGCUCUUACGGGUGGCGAGUGGCGGACGGGUGAGGCAUACAUCGGAAUCUACUUUUUCUUGGGGGAUAACGUAGGGAAACUUACGCUAAUACCUCAUACGACCUACGGGUGAAAGCAGGGGAUCUUCGGACCUUUCGCGAUUGUAUGAGCCGAUGUCGGAUUAGCUAGUUGGCGGGGUAAAGGCCCACCAAGGCGACGAUCCGUAGCUGGUCUGAGAGGAUGAUCAGCCACACUGGAACUGAGACACGGUCCAGACUCCUACGGGAGGCGGCAGUGGGGAAUAUUGGACAAUGGGCGAAAGCCUGAUCCAGCCAUGCCGCGUGGGUGAAGAAGGCCUUCGGGUUGUAAAGCCCUUUUGUUGGGAAAGAAAAGCAGCAGGUUAAUACCCCGCUGUUCUGACGGUACCCAAAGAAUAAGCACCGGCUAACUUCGUG
Molecule: ribosomal RNA, 492 nt
Filed under: uncultured bacterium
Lineage: Bacteria
Description: partial 16S ribosomal RNA
Rfam family: Bacterial small subunit ribosomal RNA
Source: RNAcentral